Transfer RNA from Ovis aries (sheep), 72 nucleotides. It matches the Rfam family "tRNA". From Rfam's summary of the family: Transfer RNA (tRNA) molecules are approximately 80 nucleotides in length. Their secondary structure includes four short double-helical elements and three loops (D, anti-codon, and T loops). Further hydrogen bonds mediate the characteristic L-shaped molecular structure. tRNAs have two regions of fundamental functional importance: the anti-codon, which is responsible for specific mRNA codon recognition, and the 3' end, to which the tRNAs corresponding amino acid is attached (by aminoacyl-tRNA synthetases). tRNAs cope with the degeneracy of the genetic code in two manners: having more than one tRNA (with a specific anti-codon) for a particular amino acid; and 'wobble' base-pairing, i.e. permitting non-standard base-pairing at the 3rd anti-codon position. The record is from Rfam. Lineage: Eukaryota; Metazoa; Chordata; Mammalia; Artiodactyla; Bovidae.
UCCCUGGUGGCUAAGAUGGUAAAGAAUUUGCCUGUGAUGCAGGAGACCCAGGUUUGAUCCUGGGUCAGGAAG